This 118-nucleotide microRNA precursor is filed under the name Olea europaea subsp. europaea. Lineage: Eukaryota; Viridiplantae; Streptophyta; Magnoliopsida; Lamiales; Oleaceae. The record is from RNAcentral.
UUUUAGUUUGGUGUAAGAUUUGGUACAAAAUGGUGCAAAAUUUGGUGUUGGGUUGGAGAUGGCCUUAGGGUUGGAACCCAGCACCAAAUUUUGCACCAAAUCUUGCACCAAACUAAAA